RNAcentral lists this transfer RNA (92 nucleotides) under Candidatus Yanofskyibacteriota bacterium. RNAcentral's name for it is "Candidatus Yanofskybacteria bacterium tRNA-Ser". It matches the Rfam family "tRNA". From Rfam's summary of the family: Transfer RNA (tRNA) molecules are approximately 80 nucleotides in length. Their secondary structure includes four short double-helical elements and three loops (D, anti-codon, and T loops). Lineage: Bacteria; Candidatus Yanofskyibacteriota. The record is from RNAcentral.
GGAAGCGUGCCAGAGCUCGGUUGAAUGGGCCGCACUCGAAAUGCGGUAUAUCCGAAAGGGUAUCGGAGGUUCAAAUCCUCCCGCUUCCGCCA